Molecule: ribosomal RNA, 281 nt
Filed under: Clostridioides difficile
Lineage: Bacteria; Bacillati; Bacillota; Clostridia; Peptostreptococcales; Peptostreptococcaceae
Description: partial 23S ribosomal RNA
Rfam family: Bacterial large subunit ribosomal RNA
Source: RNAcentral
GUAAGUUAAGUGGUAAAGGAUGUGGGAUUGCACAGACAACCAGGAUGUUGGCUUAGAAGCAGCCACUCAUUCAAAGAGUGCGUAAUAGCUCACUGGUCGAGUGAUCCUGCGCCGCAGAUUUCCGGGGCUAAAACUUACUACCGAAGCUACGGCAUCAGUAAUGAUGGGUUGGGGAGCUUCCCAUACGGGGUGCAGCAUGACCGUAAGGACAUGAGGACAGUAUGGGAGUGAGAAUGUUGGGAUGAGUAGCGAGAUGUGGGGGAGAAUCCCACAGGCCGUAA